Molecule: non-coding RNA, 2754 nt
Organism: Bactrocera oleae (olive fruit fly)
Lineage: Eukaryota; Metazoa; Arthropoda; Insecta; Diptera; Tephritidae
Source: RefSeq, a predicted model, not a curated record
ACCACUCAAUCUACAACAACCAAAUUCGCUUAUAACAAAUUCUUUAAGAACCUCUACCGUCAGUGAGAAAAUUGAUGAAAUCGAAUUAUAAUCCCGCCUUCUACCCUUAUAACAUUUUUACACCUGAGAUGGAACGAGAGAGUUUUAUAGGAGUAGAUGCAAAUUUGGACGAUGGGCGUGGCACCGCCCACAUUUAGAAGGAAGUCCAUAUCUCGAAACCAAUAUACUAGACCGAUUUCAAACAAAUUUGGUACGUAAUAUUACCCUGACAUUUCUACAUUAAAUUCCAUCUCAUUCUUUUACUUGUAUCCAUCUAAUUCUUUUACAACGUAUCCGGAUAAAAAAUUUUUUGUGUAAAGUAUAUCAUCUUACGCCUAAAAAUUGUGGAAAUCGAACUAUAAAUUUUUAAGAACUCAGACGAGAAAUAUGUGGAAACCAGGGAUAAGAAAGUCGACUCUGACUUUAGUCAAGAAUCGAUCUUUUAAUGAAAAUAAUCGACUUUUUAGAGUCGAGUUGAACAUGUCUCCAGUCGAUAAAAGUCGAUUCUCACUCGAUGACUUCGACUUUUUCUUAAACAGUUGUUAUGGUAGUAUAGUGAAAGUUGUAAAAAGUUACUCAAGUUGUCUUCCUUGCACUUGUUUGCAUUGUAUUAGAAACUGAGAAGCUGGUUGCUGAUUGGAUCAUAAAAAUAAAUAUCAUCGCUGGUAUUCUUGCACACCAACUAUGAUGAAAAACCUGCAUACAUCUCAUAAAAUGUAUGAACAAACAAAGAGACUCACGGAAAAGACCAAACGGUGUAGAAACAGAUUUAAUGAUUCAAAGUAAAAAGGCUUUGGUGGCUAUUGAAUUACCUGCUUUCUAUAGAAAAUAAAAGCACUCUUCUUUUCAGUCAACUUCCUUACUCAAACUUAAUACUUAUCAGGGGCCUCAUGAUCGCUGUAUAAAUAUAUCUACUUCUUUUGUCGGUAUUCAAUAGUUUAAUUUUUCGACAUGAGUUAAAGAAAUAAAUUAUUGACUAAUAAAUAUAUUAUUUGUCACUUAUCAGCUGGAGGUUGGAAACAUAACCAAGUAUCAACAGCUCUUGUUCGCAUGAUCGCUAUUGAUAAUAUGCCGUUAUCAACUCCAGAAAGAGUGGGAUUCAAAGCGUUUCAUCUGUUAUUUUUAUAAGGAGUUUGAAUGAAAAACUUUGAGCUAAGCGCUUAUCAUUUGAAAGAGCGUAAAACGAUUGAAAAUUUGACGUCUAAAUUAAGAGAAAUAUGUUAUGCCUGGGGUCUAAGUGAUGCGAAAAAAGCUGCAUUUUUUUCUGACGGAGGAUCUAAUAUUAAGGGAGCCAAUAAAAGUGAAUUCGACAUUCAAAAACACAUUUCGUGUAUUGGACAUGUCAUCAACAAUAUUGGACAAAGACUGAUUGACAUAAAUGUAACCCCACCAGGAUCUGAAUCUGAAGAUCAAACUUCCUUUAUAUGAAGACGAUAUUAUUGAUGAUUCAAACAUUUUAGACCCUGAAAAAACUACUGAGCAAAAAACAUUACGUGAUCUGUUGACAAAAGUUAAAAAAAUUAUAAUAUUUUUUAGACACAGUGAAAGAGCUACAACUGAGUUGUUGCACUUACAAAACAAGUUACCAGAAUUAAAGCGUCUUAAACUUAUACAGGAGGUAAAGACAAGAUGGAAUUCGUGUUAUGAAAUGGUUAAUCGUUUUAUUUUACUUGCCGACUAUGUUUAAUAGGUACUUCUUCAGAUUAAAUUGGACAAAUCGUCAAAAGCUAAGCCUCCUAAUAUGAUUACAGGAGAUGAGCUUGAAUAUUUAAUUAAAAUUCGCGAUGUCUUAAGUCCUGUUUGUAAAGUUACGCAAGAAGUUUGCUCCGAAAAAAAUGUUACAUUAAAUAAAUGUAUCCCUUUGAUUGCUGGUCUUGAAAAAGGAAGUUUGAUUAAAAUUAUUUUGAUUGUUGCAUGUUACAUUUACUUUGAUUCCUUUUUAAUUACAAUAAAAUUUAUAUUUGACAGAAAACUGAAGAUUUUAAGCCAUCCACUGUAUUAGGUCGAAAAUUACAAACAAAAACUCACUUAAGAAAUUGAAAAUAUAUAUGGAAGCAUUGAAUCGGUGAAAUUGGUUGAAGUGCGCCUUCUAUAGUAUUCGAGAAUCUACUCGUUGGAGAUUUUAUUUACUAAUUUCAAAUAAUAGUAAACUAUAUCCAUAAAUUAAUUUCCUUUUUCAUUUUAUUUUCAUUAUCAGGCGAUCUGGUUAGGAUUGAGAGAAAGGUAGCAUUACAGGCAACGGAUUCUUCUGUAAUACUUGACGAUGAAGAAGUUACUCCAGUUAUUGAAGCCUAUCGCUUGAAGAAUCUCAAAAAGACGAAAAAGGCGAUGAUAACUGGUCAUAUUUCGAUGAAGCUGUCAAACGAAACCAGUCUCAAGCAGAUAUUGAUGAAGCGGGAGGAUUUCCGAUACAGUUACGUCAGUAUUUAAAUCGUUUAGUUGUGGCACGACUACAAGGCCCUUAUCCACUUGUUUUUUGGAAAUCAAUUAAAAUGAGUAUCCUCACUUAUGGAAUGUAUCGAGGAAAUUUCUAACAAUUGUACCCUGCGAAAGAUUAUUUUCCCAUGCUGGUUUCAUUGAUCAAUUAACGAAGACAUGUGGGAAUCUUAUCUUUUUAAAUUUCUAUGUCACAUGGCUACCUUACUAAGCUCUAAACUAAUAUUUUCAUAUUAUAUUAAUAAUUAAUAGUAAAUAUAUAUUUAAUUGUAACUUUAA